GUGUCCCUAGGAGUUCUUUGCAAACACUUCACAAAAACAUUUUUUAAGAGCUUUUGUGAAGUGUAUGGGGGAACUCUCGGUGCUAC
Molecule: microRNA precursor, 86 nt
Filed under: Sorghum bicolor (sorghum)
Lineage: Eukaryota; Viridiplantae; Streptophyta; Magnoliopsida; Poales; Poaceae
Description: pre miRNA mir-395
Rfam family: mir-395 microRNA precursor family
About the family: mir-395 was identified in both Arabidopsis thaliana and Oryza sativa computationally and was later experimentally verified. mir-395 is thought to target mRNAs coding for ATP sulphurylases. The mature sequence is excised from the 3' arm of the hairpin.
Source: Rfam by way of RNAcentral